Lineus longissimus is the source of this 1202-nucleotide long non-coding RNA. RefSeq lists it as uncharacterized. Lineage: Eukaryota; Metazoa; Nemertea; Pilidiophora; Heteronemertea; Lineidae. The transcript is spliced from 3 exons. The record is from RefSeq and is a predicted model, not a curated record.
CUCUGCUCCCAUAAUUCCUGAAGGUCACUUUCUCGCGAAAGUAAGGACUCGUGGCCUUCCUUUGCGUAGGCCGCUACACUUACAGGCAAAACGUAGCGGUCUGAUCAGCUGAAGACCAGAGCGGACAAGCUGACUCUCAUCAUGUCAAAUCUCCCCUCUGCUGUCCUCACCAGGACCUUUUCUAGGACUGGAUUGAAGUUCUUUCGAUCUCGUGAGGAAGUGGUUCGUCCUCACAUCUCCAAUGGCACUUCCAAGAUUCUACUGUUUCUGUCCGUCGUAGGAAUUGGAGUGUCGAUGUACAGCACUCGUCAAAUGCACCUCUGUGAUCAAACCAAGAAAGUCAAGGUGAACCAGACUGUGAAAGGAACAGGGAAUGAGUGAUGAGCCUUCUAAGGACUGGGGUUAUUUCCACGGCCAAUUCCGCUUGUUGAAAAAUUUGCAACUUCAACUCAAAUUUUAAAAUGUUUAAAUGUUUUACUGAAUAAGUUCAACAAUGCCCUUGUGUAGACAGAUAUAUAAGUACUGUUAAGGCCUAGUUUUAAAGAAUUAACAUGCAUAAUAACUGCACAACCGCAUUGUGUAAGUGUUGGGGGGGGGGGGGGAGAGAGAUCUCAGUGUUUUAUCAUGUCCACCUUUCUUUGGUGUUGUUUUGGUGCGUAUUUACCGCGACUGUAGUGAUAGAUCAUCGUUUAAAGAUUAUGUACAUACCUGUAUUUGUAUAUUUUGUAUAAAAGUGUAAAGUGUUGAAAAAGUUUUAGUAUUAAAAUAGCUCGCCUGCAAUUUAUUUGCUCUAAUAAUUCUCUUCUUCGAGAAGUCUUCUUAUAGGUUUGAAAAGUACACAAUUGAGGUACAUAUCACCCUUGAUCAUGUGUUCUUCUAGGCAUUGACUAAUUGUCUGCAGUUCCUUGCGAAGUUAGUAGAGCUGGUAGUUCUGUUUCACGAACCAGUAGACGUGCAAUGUUGAAAAUUCUGGGUGCCGGCAGGGCAACCUUACUUUACAAAGAAAUUGCCUGCUGUGAAAUAAGGAACAGAGUACCCCUUUAUUAAGAAUUUUAGAAAAAUGAAGUUUCCUUUGAAACCACUGCUUUAGAAUCCUGAUUUUACUGUAACUCUUAUCAUGUAUAACUUACUUCAACCAUCAUGCAAUUUGUAAUUUUAAAUCAUUGUUGAAAAUAAAAAUAGCAGAAUUGUUUUCCCUGUAA